RNAcentral lists this ribosomal RNA (492 nucleotides) under uncultured bacterium. RNAcentral's name for it is "partial 16S ribosomal RNA". It matches the Rfam family "Bacterial small subunit ribosomal RNA", at positions 29 to 507 of the family's 1533-position model. The record is from RNAcentral.
AGUGAACGCUGGCGGCAUGCCUAACACAUGCAAGUCGAACGGCAGCACAGUAAGAGCUCGCUCUUACGGGUGGCGAGUGGCGGAUGAGUGAGGAAUACAUCGCAUUCUUCUUUUUCGUGGGGGAUUACGUAGGGACACUUAUGCUAAUACCUCAUAUUAUCUACGGGUGAGAUCAGGGGUUCUACGGACCUUUCGUGACUCUAUGAGCUGAUGCCGGAUUAGCUAGUUGGCUAGGUAAGGGCCCACCAAGGCAACGAUGCGUAGCAGAUCUGAGAGGAUGAUCGGCCACACUGGAACUGAGACACGGUCCAGACUCCUACGGGAGGCAGCAGUAGGGAAUCUUGGGCAAUGGGCGAAAGCCUGAUGCAGCCAUGCCGCGUGGGUGAAGAAGGCCUUCGGAUUGUAAAGCCCUUUUGUUGGGAAAGAAAAGCAGCGGAUUAAUCCGCGCCUAUUCUGACGGUACCCAAAGAGUAAGCCCCGGCUAACUUCGUG